GAUGAACGCUAGCUACAGGCUUAACACAUGCAAGUCGAGGGGCAGCAUGAACUUAGCUUGCUAAGUUUGAUGGCGACCGGCGCACGGGUGAGUAACGCGUAUCCAACCUGCCCUUGUCCAUCGGAUAACCCGUCGAAAGGCGGACUAACACGGUAUGCAGUCCACAGCAGGCAUCUAACGUGGACGAAAUGUGAAGGAGAAGGAUGGGGAUGCGUCUGAUCAGCUUGUUGGCGGGGUAACGGCCCACCAAGGCGACGAUCAGUAGGGGUUCUGAGAGGAAGGUCCCCCACAUUGGAACUGAGACACGGUCCAAACUCCUACGGGAGGCAGCAGUGAGGAAUAUUGGUCAAUGGACGGAAGUCUGAACCAGCCAAGUAGCGUGCAGGAUGACGGCCCUAUGGGUUGUAAACUGCUUUUAUAUGGGGAUAAAGUGAGUCACGUGUGGCUUAUUGCAGGUACCAUAUGAAUAAGGACCGGCUAAUUCCGUGCCAGCCGCCGCGGUAA
RNAcentral lists this ribosomal RNA (504 nucleotides) under uncultured bacterium. RNAcentral's name for it is "partial 16S ribosomal RNA". It matches the Rfam family "Bacterial small subunit ribosomal RNA", at positions 28 to 523 of the family's 1533-position model. The record is from RNAcentral.